Molecule: long non-coding RNA, 8809 nt
Filed under: Nicotiana tabacum (common tobacco)
Lineage: Eukaryota; Viridiplantae; Streptophyta; Magnoliopsida; Solanales; Solanaceae
Description: long non-coding RNA (NTAB_LNC009006)
Source: RNAcentral
AUACGGAUACGGAAACAACAUAAUAAAGAUAGAGGGACUCCGAGGUCUGCGAACGCUGGCAGAUGUAUCUUGAAGUCUUCACGUACGGACUAGCUCACUGAUACCUGGUUUGAUAGGAAAUACCUGGAUCUGCACACAAAAUUGUGCAGAAGCGUAGUAUGAGUACACCACAAUGGUACCCACUAAGUACCAAGCCUAACCUUGGUAGAAUAGUGACGAGGUCAGGUCAGGGCCAUAUUAAAAAUAAUAAUAAACAAGACAGAAGAUAUAAAAAUAUAAUGAAAUGACAGAGAAGUGGAACAAUUAGAAUUUACAUAGGUAAUAACACAAAAUCAAAGAAAGACAAAUACAACAUGAAAGGAAAGCAAAGAUCUUACGAGUUAAGGAAAGACAACAACAACCAAUACAGCAAAUAAAGGAAAUCAACAGGGCACACCCGAGGUACCGCCUCGUAGUUCCAAAAGUAAAUAUCUCACAAUCCUUUCUUAUAUCACCGCGAGAGCCUUCAUAUUUAGUUUUUGAAAAUCAUUUUCCCAAAAUAGCAUCUCGCGUUUUAGCCCACAUUAUCACACCGAUGACUUCUAGUAGUUCCUCUUCUAGCCAAGCGUUUCAAGCCCACCUUAUCUCACUGCAUGUGUUUCAACACCCAGCCUUAUACCACCGCAUGUGUGUCAAUAAUCACAACGGCAUGACAGAAACCUUGUGCAAAAAAUAACAAUCGCACGACAAAAACCUCGUGCAACAAUAACAACUGCACGGCAGAAACCUCGUGCAACAACCAAACAAUCAUCUCAACAAUAAUCACGGAAAUCAAAACAUAACAACUAAAACAAUGAUAUUUCAAAGAUAGCAAUUUCACGUAAAGAAUCCCACAGUUAAAUAAGGAAUAUGGAAUCAAGAAAAUAGGUAAUUCAACUAAGCAUGUAGUACAAGUUACAAAUAAGAGAUAAGACAAGUAGACAAAUGAAAUUAGGCUAAACAUGAUGACUAUACAUGCUAAAGUUACUCAGUAAAGGCAUAAAAAUAUAACUACUUAGAUAAACCGAAAUUUCAACAUUUAGCCCGUGUACGCACUCGUAACCUCGUGUACACGGCCCUCACAUAUCACAAAUUGUCACAACAAUACCAAAUUCUAAUGGAAAUUUUUCCCACACAAGGUUACACAAGUCACUUACCUCAAACUUUGCUCAAUCAAUCAAUGAGAAGGCCUUUCCCUCGACUUUCCGACUCCGAACAACUCAAAUCUAGCCAAAAAUAAUUACAUACUAUAAAUAUAACUAUAGGAAACUAAUCUAAAUAACAAAAUUUUGAAAAAUUCGCUCCAAAAAGUCGACUCGAGCCCAUGUCUCAGAACCCGACCAAAAUUAAAAAAAUCCGAACACCCUUCGAUAUAGAUUCCAACCAUACAAAAAUUAUUCAAAUCCGAUCCCAAUUCACCUUUCAAAACUCAAGAAUUCGGUCUAAGAAUUCUCUACCUUUUCCUCCAAAUUUCUCAACCCAAAUCCUUUAUUAAAUGAAGAAAUCGAAGAUAGAUUAGUAGAAUAUAAUAAAAAACAAGUCAAGAAUCCUUACCCAAAUAUUUUCUCUGAAAAUCCAUCAAAAUCUCGCCUCAAUCCGAGUUUUAUAUCUCAAAAUAUGAAGAAAAUGACAAACUCUCGAUUUCAAACAGUCUGCCCAACGUUUUCCACAUUUGCGGACAAGAAAUCACUUCUGCGACGUCGUACAUAUGGAAAAACCAUCGCAGGUGCGGAAAAACACUAAGUCCAAGGCUUCCGCUUCUGUGGAUAACGCCCCCAUCUACGAGACCGCUUUUGCGGGAAUAGAAUACAAAAAACUAUAGUGUACACCAAUCAUUAGUUGAGACAUCUUUUUGACAAUAAAGGAACGCCAUCCCCCUAUAUAUAUAUAUAUCAUCAUGAUCUUUUCGGGGUACACCAUUAUAUAUAUAUANNNNNNNNNNNNNNNNNNNNNNNNNNNNNNNNNNNNNNNNNNNNNNNNNNNNNNNNNNNNNNNNNNNNNNNNNNNNNNNNNNNNNNNNNNNNNNNNNNNNNNNNNNNNNNNNNNNNNNNNNNNNNNNNNNNNNNNNNNNNNNNNNNNUGAAUCCAAAAUACAGAAGUGGAUGAAAAGAUGUGGAAUGCUCAAUACAUGACUGAAGUCAUGGGCAUUACAUUUCCCGUUUGAUUAGAAUAAGUUAUAGAACAAUGAACUAGCACCUAUAGCUAGCGAGCAUCAAGGUUCAGAUCAGAGUCUGCAUGAAGAACCAGUCAAGACUCAAGAUCAAGUUUCAGAAUACUCAUAUAUAGAAAUCAUGUAACUCAUAACUGGUAGGCUUGUUUAAUUUACCUGCGACUACUGACACUUCUGCGCCCAUACCAUCGCAGAAGCGAAUGCGCUUCUGCAGAAUAUUUCCCGCUCUUGCGACCACUGCUGGGCAUGACCAAACUAACUUCUGCGACCAAGAUCUCGCUUUUGCGAACGCGCACUUACGGCCAAUCCCUUUGCAGGUGCGAAACAACCCAGCUUUAGCAUAUUUCACAAGUCCCAAUUUGUUUCGGAUUCGAGAAAUUUUUUGAAAAAAAUCUACGUUCGAUCCGAAUCACACUCGAGCCCCCCGAGACCUCUACCAAUAAUACCAAUAAGUCCUAAAACAUCAUACGAACUUAGUCGAGCCUUCAAAUCACAUCAAACAAUGCUAAAACCAUGAAUCGUACCCCAAUUCAAGCUUAACGAACUUAUAAAAUUCUGACUUCCACAUCCGAUGCCCAAGCCUAUCAAAUCAAGUCCGAUUGACCUCAAAUAUUACACACGUCACAUUUGACAUUAAGAACCUACUCCAACUUCCAGAAUCAAAAUCUGACCCCGAUAUCAAAAGUCCACUUCCAGUCGAAGUUUCAAGAAAUCUUUCAACUUUCUAACUUUCGUCGAUUAACGCCGAAAUGACCUAUGGAUCUCCAAAUCAACAUCCGUACAUGCUCCUAAGACCAAAAUUACCCUACGGAGCUAUUGGAACCGACAAAACUCUAUUCUGGAGUCGUCUUCACACAACUCAACCCACGGUCAACUCUUACAACUUAAACUUCAACUCUAAGGACUAUAUGUCCCAUUCCACUCCGAAACUCACCCGAACCCGAACCCGACACCAAGCACCCUGGCAAGUCAAGUAAAUACAAAACAAAAUAAAGGGAGCAAUAAAUAGGGGAUCGGGGCUAAUACUCUCAAAUCGAUCGAUCAGGUAAUUACAUCUCUAAGAUUUGUGUAAACUUGAAAAAUAAUUUUACCUAUAUAAUGAAUUUGGAAAAGAAUAAAAUUGGAUUAGUUUUCUAGUUAGUUAACCCGAAAAAAGGUCAAUUAAUAUACUUAAUUAUCUUUUUCAAUCACUAAUAGAAAUAAUUUAUUUUUUGAGGAUUUAAAUUAUUAAUAUUAGCUCAUAGCAUAAAAUAAAUAUUUAAUUAUAACUAUAUUUUUAUCCACGAAAAAUUCUUUUGUCAAAUCAUAAAAAAUCGAACUUUUGCACUUCAUGUUUGUCGUAGCUUUAGUAAAUGACUUUUGUCAGUCACUUUUCAGUUUUCUCGAUCUCUUUCUCUUGUUAUGAUUAAAUAUUUUCGUAAUUAUAUUUUCUAAUAAUAUUUUAAAAUCUAUAUUAAUAUUUAUAUCUAAGUAAAUUAUUGAUCAAACAGUAAAAUUAAUAAUCAAUGGACCAAUCUCACAUAGAAUACUCAUAACAUUUAUAUGUUAAAUGCUGAUUUGAAUAAAGGGCAAAGCAAGCUACUUCCUCUUCCUUUAAUUUUUUCUUUACUUUUUUCGUUUACAUCAUAAUUGUUCACUUAAAAUUUAGCAUGAUUAUACAAUUUCUUUUGGGCUAAAAAAUGUUCAAUUAUAUAAAACUAGAUGAGUGGUGCCCGUGCUGUGCCCGGGCAUAUGCCCGAUAUUGUUAAGUUAUUUGUCCAGCUUAAAGAUUACCAAGAAAAUUUAAUGCUGAGACGUUUAGCAAGGUUGCUGACAAAGGAAGCGUUGUUACUGCAUACUUUUUUUUGGUGAUAAGGGAUUCAGAUAUUAUCAUAACAAAAAAUUAAUAGUCAUUACAAAAUAUUCCUUAUAACAUUAAGGGUAGCUAAAUUAUCAAGUCUAACAAAAAAAUUACCUCUUCUUAAACUGCUAAAACAACUGAACUAACAGAUGGAGGAAACUGGAUGACGAACAACGACAUUAGGGUUGGUCUAUUUGGAUCCAUCCUUGGACAAAAGAUGUUCCACCAUGUGUCCUUGCCUGAAGCUAUGCCGCAUUAUCGGGCUCCCUAGGAUUUACAUUAACAAUCUGCGGGCAUCAACGAUAGAGACAUAAGUAGGUGUUGGAUUUUCUAAUAGUAAUAUUACCUCCGUUGAUAUCAAUAUAAUUUCCAGCAGGGAAAAGUCAAAUAUGAAUCACAUAAAAUUAUAAAAAGAGUCCCAGAUUAAGAAACAUAAGCAAGAUUCUACCCUUUUGGAGUGAAACAAACAAAUAGAAUGUUUUUUGAGAAAACAGUCAAACACAGGAUCAAAAAGGAAAAUAUGGAAGACUACCUUGAUAAUUUGUGAUUCUUUUUCUCGAAAAGGAAAAUAUGGAAGACUACCUUGAUUAUUUGUGAUUCUUUUUCUCGAAUAGCUUCUGAUGUUUAUCAAUCAGCACUGAAGAUGAGUAAAGCAGUGCAGACAUGUACACGACAAGUGAUUCUAUAUACGGUGGCAGGGACGCAAGUGAAAUUAUCCAAAAGGAAGCAGUUUUUUUCCGGGACCAUGUCGCAGUGCCAGCAGCUCGUGAACAGUUGUUGCUUCAUACUACAAACAUCCAUUGAGGAGCAAAAUGUUUGUACAACAUCAGUAAAAAUCAUGAAAUAUGUACUUGCAACAUAGUAAACUUUUCCAUACUCUAUAUCCUUCUUGAAAAUUGAUUAUUCCACAAAUCUUUGUUAUUAUAAAUAUUCUUUUGCAAUAGUAUUGAAAAAAAGGAUUAGAACCUGCAGAGAGAGCUUAAGCAAUACUAAAGCAGCAAACGCAGAAUGUUUCUAUUAGAUAAACUAUAAUGUACAGCCCAAGUAAUACACAUAAUUCUAAUUCUUCAAAAAAAUUAAACGAAAAUAAUAUACAUACUUGAGAUAUUAUAAAAUAACAAUUUUAAUGUGUAAUUAAUUCAAUAUUUCUGACUUUUGAGACAAAGGAACAGUGAACUAUCAGAAGUUUUUCAUCAGCUAUAAAGAUUGACAAAGAAAAUGAAUUACUUGGCAAUGACUUCUCUACUCUAACUAUGAAAAUGAUGUACUAAAAAACUACAUUUAUUGUUCACAGAGAGGAGGGAUAAAAUCUUGAAAUAAUUAAGAGGCUAUAUUGAAUUUCAGAAACAUUUGUAACUAACACAUCUUUCCAAUACAAACUGAAAAAGAGAAAUCAAAGUUAGCUGCAAAUUCUAUUGCAAAUAGGGGUGUUCAAGGUUCGGUUUGGAUCGGUUAUUUAUCGGUUUUUUCUUAAAUAUAAGAAAUACACUACCAAACGCACAUUUCGGCGAUCACAUUUUCAACGCAACACUAUCAAAUCAAUUGCCCUUUGAGAAAUCUAUUAUUUACCAAGAUAUAUUGAUGAUAAUUGAAUCAAAUAGUGAUGAAUAAUUUAAGGACUCAAUUAAAAAUAUAUUAUUUUUAACAUGAAAUAGAUUCUUACACUUAACAAAAGAAAACUACCAAUUAAACUAGAAUGUAAAGGUAAAGAACUGUACUAAAAGUACAAAUGAUUAAUAUUUACUAUAAAAAUUUUAAAACUUUGUAUAAAAAUAUACAUAUAUAUAGGUGUAAUAAUAAAUUUAAAAUGGCUACUNNNNNNNNNNNNNNNNNNNNNNNNNNNNNNNNNNNNNNNNNNNNNNNNNNNNNNNNNNNNNNNNNNNNNNNNNNNNNNNNNNNNNNNNNNNNNNNNNNNNNNNNNNNNNNNNNNNNNNNNNNNNNNNNNNNNNNNNNNNNNNNUUUGAUUCGGGUUUUCGGAUUUUUAUGAACACCCCUAAUUGCAAAGAUUAACUUGAGGCACCAAUGCAAGCCCAAUGCUUCUAAUGCAAUACAAUCAAUGUUAAGCUUUAAAAAUAUCUCACUACUGAUAAAAUUCUUUUCAAAAUGUAUAGUUUUAUGUGAUAUCAAGUAGUUAUGUCCAACCUCUUCAGUAUUUACCGUCUUAAAAUCCUAUUUCUAAGAUAAGAUUGCAUAUUUUACUAUUCAUAAUCUUCCUAACAACAGGACGAAAUAGUGAUUGUGUACUAAACUUGAAAAAAGACACGAGCGGCUAACAAAAAGCCGAGGGUGAGCUGCAGUAGGGCUUGCUUUACCUGCAAAUAUUUUCACAAACAGGAUAUUAAAUUAGAUCACAGAAUGUUGAAAGACGGAAAAGAAAGUGGUUUCAUCUAACAUAGAAGAACCUACAUAUUUAUGUCAAGUUUUUCCCCUCAAGCAUAACAAAGAAAGUGGUUUCCAUAAUACUAACAAAGUUUUUGAAAAAAAAAAUUGAAAUAUAUAUUUACAGAAAGAAUAACAAAGCGCAAUUUGUUGUUGACCUUCAUUUCAUUCUCAAUGGAGUUGUUUGCUCCAGUUUUUGUUUCAUCUUUAACGAUUUCAGUUGGUAACGCAUAUUUAUUCUUUGGUGUAUCAAAAGAGUCUUUCUUUCUUGCUGCCUUCACAAAUGUCAGUAAACGUCUAUGCUAGGAGAGAAUGAAGAAUGUUUUCUUUUUCAACACAUGAUAAAAUAUUCAAUUCUCCAGACAUUGUGGAAGAAAUGCAUGCUAAUAAUUUUUUAGCUUGGAUUACGAACAGUUUGAGUAAGCAACUUUUUGGCAAAGACUCUUCUUGGAAAAAAAUACUAAGCUUUUUGUAAGAUCAAUCAUGUAAUAGACAUGUAUAAAUUGUUUAGUUCAAAUAAUCGCAGAAUAUUUUUACAGAUUGAAUUUGUAUUUUGAUUGAGGUUACCUUGUAAAUUUCCUCUACAGUAUGGGAUAGAGUAGUAUUUUUCUCCUUAUUCUCUCACAAUUAUCUCAAUUAUUGAGCCGGAGGCAUCUUGAAAAUCAAGAUCAAACCUGUAACAGUGUAUGACUAAAACACUAUGUUGAUAAGAACAGAAGAUUCUGGUAAAAAUUUAGUAUUAUGUCUUCAUCCACGGGAACAAGGAUGAGAGAUUCGAAUUUUGAUGCACUACUCAUGGUGAAAGAGACAAGCAUUUCUCCGUCUUCCAUGAUCUUGUCCAUGGUAGAAAACACUAAACUUUUGAAGAUUAAUAAUAAGAAAGAAACAAACACAAUAUAUGUAGGAGCAGGGAGUAGUGUUAUACCUUACAUGUAGUUGCUACAUUGUGGAUAAGGUGGGUCAAUCUGUAUUGACGUUUUGAACCUUGUAGUCAAUGAUGUAUCUACAUUAAUUAAGUACAAGAGAUUACAAAAUUACACUGUAACUUUGUAUAAGAUGGAUUAUUGUUUAUUUUAGCUUACCAUUAUAGUUGAACCCCCAAUAUUUCUUGCAAGAAUGACAGGAUAUUCUUUGAAUUAUUUCAUGAGUUACUUCGUUGAACUUUAAUAAAUGCUUUUCUGGUAUCUCGGUAAAUAAAAUAUAAAUAUAUUAAAUCCAAAACUUACUCAAUAAGUAUCUUACUUUCUUUCAGAUGCUUCUUCACUUGUCAACUUUAAUUAGGAUCAAGCUUAUUCUACAACUAAAAAGACAAUGAGUAUACAAGCUGCACAAGAAGCAGGGUGGAUAAAUAGCUGCUAUUGCACAUUAUAAAUUAUUUCUAUUUCAAAAAGGUAAAAGAAAGGUACUUUAUUUCCUUAAGCUAAUUUUCAAAUGUUAAGUUAAUGCAACAUCAAUUUUCAACUAAGAAAAACAUGCACAUGUAAGAAGCCACUUACAAAGAAGACAUUGAAAUAUACAUUUGAAAGAGGGUAUUUUAUUAAAACUUUAGGAAGUUCUGCUAUUUAUAUUAUUGGUUUACGCUUAUAGGAUUAAGUUAAUUUCUAAAUGAAACUAACAAAACAUAGUCACGAAACAACAAAUGCAUACAAAAUGAUCUCAGCUGAUCUACGCUAACUCAAAAGAUCCAAAAGAAAGAAAAAUAUUUUUAAACAAAAAUUAGCAUAUAGUAUUCCUCCAAAUUAAAUGAAUAAAAAGUAACAUAAACAAAAAAAAUACGUAGUUGAAAUAACAUUAAACUUCAUGACAAAUCCAAUUGAGAGCUAAUCUGUGACAAUCUAAAACAUGCAAAAUACAAAAACUUUUAAGGAGACAAAUUAGCAUUCAUUCACCCAGAAACAACCAAAAACAAAAACCCGAAUAUUUUGAUCGAAGCUGAAAUAGAAUAAAAAAAUUUCAACCAACUGAGAGCUAAUCUACUAAUAUCACAUAAAAUUAGCAUUAUUCCAAAAUCGACCCCAAGAAAAUAGAACAACAAUAGGAUUUUUUUAUAGAAUCCAUAAUGCUUGCAAGAGUCAUGGAAGCAGAAGGCAAAAGAAAGAUUUUUGGCUGCAUUUGGUAUCAAUUUGAUGGAGAAUGAUAUGUGGAUCUAGAUUGAGAAUGAAAAAAGAAAAUAGUAAAAUUAGAAUGAGAUAAGAAUAGAAAAAGAAUGAGCAAAGAUGGCCGUACCAAGCUUCAAUACAUGAACGCCCACCGUUUGUUGCCGACGACGAUAAAGACCCAAAGCUUCACUCAAAUCUAUUGCUUUUAGACUCUAUCGUUACGAUAGAGAGAAGUUGGAGGUGAAACGGACGCAUGGAAGAAGAGGGUCUUGAGUUGAGACAUGUAGAGUCGGUGAUAUGAAAG